Molecule: ribosomal RNA, 783 nt
Filed under: uncultured Dialister sp.
Lineage: Bacteria; Bacillati; Bacillota; Negativicutes; Veillonellales; Veillonellaceae
Description: bacterial SSU rRNA
Rfam family: Bacterial small subunit ribosomal RNA
Source: RNAcentral
GACGAACGCUGGCGGCGUGCUUAACACAUGCAAGUCGAACGGAAAGAGAUGAAAGAGCUUGCUCUUUUAUUAAUUUCAGUGGCAAACGGGUGAGUAACACGUAAACAACCUGCCUUAAGGAUGGGGAUAACAGACGGAAACGACUGCUAAUACCGAAUACGUUCUAAGCAUCGCAUGGUGCAUAGAAGAAAGGGUGGCCUCUACAAGAAAGCUAUCGCCUUAAGAGGGGUUUGCGACUGAUUAGGUAGUUGGUGAGGUAACGGCUCACCAAGCCGACGAUCAGUAGCCGGUCUGAGAGGAUGAACGGCCACACUGGAACUGAGACACGGUCCGGACUCCUACGGGAGGCAGCAGUGGGGAAUCUUCCGCAAUGGACGAAAGUCUGACGGAGCAACGCCGCGUGAACGAAGAAGGUCUUCGGAUUGUAAAGUUCUGUGAUUCGGGACGAAAGGGUUUGUGGUGAAUAAUCAUAGACAUUGACGGUACCGAAAAAGCAAGCCACGGCUAACUACGUGCCAGCAGCCGCGGUAAUACGUAGGUGGCAAGCGUUGUCCGGAAUUAUUGGGCGUAAAGCGCGCGCAGGCGGUUUCUUAAGUCCAUCUUAAAAGCGUGGGGCUCAACCCCAUGAGGGGAUGGAAACUGGGAAGCUGGAGUAUCGGAGAGGAAAGUGGAAUUCCUAGUGUAGCGGUGAAAUGCGUAGAGAUUAGGAAGAACACCGGUGGCGAAGGCGACUUUCUAGACGAAAACUGACGCUGAGGCGCGAAAGCGUGGGGAGCAAACAGG